RNAcentral lists this ribosomal RNA (412 nucleotides) under uncultured bacterium. RNAcentral's name for it is "bacterial SSU rRNA". It matches the Rfam family "Bacterial small subunit ribosomal RNA", at positions 28 to 414 of the family's 1533-position model. The record is from RNAcentral.
GACGAACGCUGGCGGCGUGCUUAACACAUGCAAGUCGAACGAGAGGACAAGAGAAGCUUGCUUCUUUUGGAAUCGAGUGGCAAACGGGUGAGUAACACGUAAACAACCUGCCUUCAGGAUGGGGACAACAGACGGAAACGACUGCUAAUACCGAAUACGCUUGGGAGACCGCAUGAUCUACCAAGGAAAGGGUGGCCUCUACCUGUAAGCUAUCGCCUGAAGAGGGGUUUGCGUCUGAUUAGGCAGUUGGUGAGGUAACGGCCCACCAAACCUACGAUCAGUAGCCGGUCUGAGAGGAUGAACGGCCACACUGGAACUGAGACACGGUCCAGACUCCUACGGGAGGCAGCAGUGGGGAAUCUUCCGCAAUGGGCGAAAGCCUGACGGAGCAACGCCGCGUGAGUGAUGACGG